GGCAGGAGAUGUGGCGGGUGCAACCGGCUAGUUUAUGGAGCUCUGCGGCAGCUGAUCCCGUCUGCCACCCGAUUGUCCUUAGUUGUGAUCCCAAGCUGCGGAGCUAAGCGGCGCGUGGACUGCGGCUGUGGAGCAGGAAGGGCUCGUAGGACAACUCUUGGGUGAAGCACGGCUGUAGUCCAUUAAAUUUCCUGGAGCUUCCUGAGACAAGAUCGUGGAGGGCGGCCACACACCCGCAGCCUGCAUCAUGCCAGCGCUGGCCACAGGAUCUGCCUGCGACACGGGUCUGUACGAGCUGUUGGCUGCUCUGCCUGCCCAGCUGCAGCCACAUGUGGAUAGCCAGGAGGACCUGACCUUCCUCUGGGACAUGUUUGGUGAAAAGAGCCUGCAUUCACUGGUCAAGGUAAACCACACUGAUGUCAGCUUCUCUUUGCAAAAAGCAGAUGGAAAAAAUAUUUCGAGUGCCAUCUAGUAGACCAAAGAUGAAAUUGUUACCGCCUCAAAACAAAACAGCCUUGUUCUAUUUCAUGGCCGGGGUGUGGAAGUUGUUAAAGAUCUUACCAAAAAUACAUACAUGACUUCACUGAAG
This is a long non-coding RNA of Rattus rattus (black rat), 589 nucleotides long. RefSeq lists it as uncharacterized. The record is from RefSeq and is a predicted model, not a curated record. The transcript has 3 exons. NCBI's taxonomy places the organism in Eukaryota, Metazoa, Chordata, Mammalia, Rodentia, Muridae.